Molecule: transfer RNA, 65 nt
Filed under: Phrixothrix hirtus
Lineage: Eukaryota; Metazoa; Arthropoda; Insecta; Coleoptera; Phengodidae
Description: tRNA-Trp
Source: RNAcentral
AAGGAUUUAAGUUAUAUAAACUAUUAACCUUCAAAGUUAAAAAAAAACUCAAUUAAGCCUUUAAA